RNAcentral lists this ribosomal RNA (474 nucleotides) under uncultured bacterium. Its description in RNAcentral is "bacterial SSU rRNA". It matches the Rfam family "Bacterial small subunit ribosomal RNA", at positions 96 to 564 of the family's 1533-position model. The record is from RNAcentral.
UGGCGAACGGGUGAGUAAUGUAUCGGAACGUGCCCAGUAGCGGGGGAUAACUGGCCGAAAGGUCAGCUAAUACCGCAUACGCCCUACGGGGGAAAGGGGGGGAUUCUUCGGAACCUCUCACUAUUGGAGCGGCCGAUAUCGGAUUAGCUAGUUGGUGGGGUAAUGGCCUACCAAGGCGACGAUCCGUAGCUGGUUUGAGAGGACGACCAGCCACACUGGGACUGAGACACGGCCCAGACUCCUACGGGAGGCAGCAGUGGGGAAUUUUGGACAAUGGGGGAAACCCUGAUCCAGCCAUCCCGCGUGUGCGAUGAAGGCCUUCGGGUUGUAAAGCACUUUUGUCAGGGAAGAAAAGGUUCUGGCUAAUACCCGGAACUGAUGACGGUACCUGAAGAAUAAGCACCGGCUAACUACGUGCCAGCAGCCGCGGUAAUACGUAGGGUGCAAGCGUUAAUCGGAAUUACUGGGCGUAAA